RNAcentral lists this ribosomal RNA (284 nucleotides) under Klebsiella pneumoniae. RNAcentral's name for it is "partial 23S ribosomal RNA". It matches the Rfam family "Bacterial large subunit ribosomal RNA", at positions 2659 to 2925 of the family's 2925-position model. The record is from RNAcentral. RNAcentral also lists the same sequence under 1 other name. Lineage: Bacteria; Pseudomonadati; Pseudomonadota; Gammaproteobacteria; Enterobacterales; Enterobacteriaceae.
GAAUUGAGGGGGGCUGCUCCUAGUACGAGAGGACCGGAGUGGACGCAUCACUGGUGUUCGGGUUGUCAUGCCAAUGGCACUGCCCGGUAGCUAAAUGCGGAAGAGAUAAGUGCUGAAAGCAUCUAAGCACGAAACUUGCCCCGAGAUGAGUUCUCCCUGAGACUAUAAGUCUCCUGAAGGAACGUUAAAGACGAUGACGUUGAUAGGCCGGGUGUGUAAGCGCAGCGAUGCGUUGAGCUAACCGGUACUAAUGAACCGUGAGGCUUAACCUUACAACGCCGAAG